RNAcentral lists this ribosomal RNA (371 nucleotides) under uncultured bacterium. RNAcentral describes it as "bacterial SSU rRNA". It matches the Rfam family "Bacterial small subunit ribosomal RNA", at positions 527 to 896 of the family's 1533-position model. The record is from RNAcentral.
AGAGGGUGCAAACGUUGUUCGGAAUUACUGGGCGUAAAGCGCGUGUUGGCGGCAGCGUGUGUCGGGCGUGAAAUCCCAUGGCUCAACCAUGGAAGUGCACCCGAAACUGCGCAGCUAGAGUCCUGGAGAGGAAGGUGGAAUACUUGGUGUAGAGGUGAAAUUCGUAGAUAUCAAGUGGAACACCGGAGGCGAAGGCGGCCUUCUGGACAGUGACUGACGCUGAGACGCGAAAGCGUGGGGAGCAAACAGGAUUAGAUACCCUGGUAGUCCACGCCGUAAACGAUGAGUGCUAGGUGUCACGGGCUUUGACCCUCGUGGUGCCGAAGCUAACGCGUUAAGCACUCCGCCUGGGGAGUACGGCCGCAAGGCUA